Molecule: ribosomal RNA, 453 nt
Filed under: uncultured bacterium
Lineage: Bacteria
Description: bacterial SSU rRNA
Rfam family: Bacterial small subunit ribosomal RNA
Source: RNAcentral
AACGAACGCUGGCGGCAGGCCUAACACAUGCAAGUCGAGCGAACCCUUCGGGGUUAGCGGCGGGCGGGUUAGUAACGCGUGGGAAUAUACCCUUUGGUACGGAAUAGCCUCGGGAAACUGAGAGUAAUACCGUAUGUGCCCUUCGGGGGAAAGAUUUAUCGCCAAAGGAUUAGCCCGCGUUGGAUUAGAUAGUUGGUGGGGUAAUGGCCUACCAAGUCUACGAUCCAUAGCUGGUUUGAGAGGAUGAUCAGCAACACUGGGACUGAGACACGGCCCAGACUCCUACGGGAGGCAGCAGUGGGGAAUCUUAGACAAUGGGCGCAAGCCUGAUCUAGCCAUGCCGCGUGGACGAUGAAGGCCUUAGGGUUGUAAAGUCCUUUCAGAUGGGAAGAUAAUGACGGUACCAUCAGAAGAAGCCCCCGGNUAACUCCGUGCCAGCAGCCGCGGUAAAGU